Molecule: transfer RNA, 71 nt
Filed under: Candidatus Nealsonbacteria bacterium CG_4_10_14_0_8_um_filter_37_14
Lineage: Bacteria; Candidatus Nealsoniibacteriota
Description: tRNA-Ala
Rfam family: tRNA
About the family: Transfer RNA (tRNA) molecules are approximately 80 nucleotides in length. Their secondary structure includes four short double-helical elements and three loops (D, anti-codon, and T loops). Further hydrogen bonds mediate the characteristic L-shaped molecular structure. tRNAs have two regions of fundamental functional importance: the anti-codon, which is responsible for specific mRNA codon recognition, and the 3' end, to which the tRNAs corresponding amino acid is attached (by aminoacyl-tRNA synthetases). tRNAs cope with the degeneracy of the genetic code in two manners: having more than one tRNA (with a specific anti-codon) for a particular amino acid; and 'wobble' base-pairing, i.e. permitting non-standard base-pairing at the 3rd anti-codon position.
Source: RNAcentral
GGGCCUAUAGUUUAAUGGUAGAAUGGUGCAUUCGCAUUGCGCCGAUGGCAGUUCGAUUCUGCCUGGGUCCA